This 496-nucleotide ribosomal RNA is filed under the name uncultured bacterium. RNAcentral's name for it is "partial 16S ribosomal RNA". It matches the Rfam family "Bacterial small subunit ribosomal RNA", at positions 28 to 506 of the family's 1533-position model. The record is from RNAcentral.
GACGAACGCUGGCGGCGUGCCUAAUACAUGCAAGUUGAGCGCUGAAGGUUGGUACUUGUACCAACUGGAUGAGCAGCGAACGGGUGAGUAACGCGUGGGGAAUCUGCCUUUGAUCGGGGGACAACAUUUGGAAACGAAUGCUAAUACCGCAUAAAAACUUUAAACACAAGUUUUAAGUUUGAAAGAUGCAAUUGCAUCACUCAAAGAUGAUCCCGCGUUGUAUUAGCUAGUUGGUGAGGUAAAGGCUCACCAAGGCGAUGAUACAUAGCCGACCUGAGAGGGUGAUCGGCCACAUUGGGACUGAGACACGGCCCAAACUCCUACGGGAGGCAGCAGUAGGGAAUCUUCGGCAAUGGACGAAAGUCUGACCGAGCAACGCCGCGUGAGUGAAGAAGGUUUUCGGAUCGUAAAACUCUGUUGGUAGAGAAGAACGUGGGUGAGAGUGGAAAGCUCAUCAAGUGACGGUAACUACCCAGAAAGGGACGGCGAACUACGU